This 3417-nucleotide long non-coding RNA is filed under the name Triticum aestivum (bread wheat). Its description in RNAcentral is "long non-coding RNA (TAES_LNC020480)". Lineage: Eukaryota; Viridiplantae; Streptophyta; Magnoliopsida; Poales; Poaceae. The record is from RNAcentral.
UUGGCUCUCUCUUCUUUGAGGUUUCGUCGAUGGAGCCGAAGAAGGACACGGUGAAGCCAAACUUCAGAACCCCUCCAAAGUGCAUAAUUUUGAUAGUACUUCAUGUCCGGUGAAGUAGUUUCAAGCAUGCAAGCAAAUAAGUAGUUCUUUUAUUAGUCAUGUGUGAUCAGCGUGGCCAGUUGAUUAAGUAGCUUUUCUAAUUAAAGAAUACUACUUCAGAAUAGGGUCCACGUACAGGUUGUGCUAGUUAGCUUGUUUUUUUUCUUUCUCUCCGAGAUGUAAAAGGAGGGGAUCUCCGUAUUAGUUUGAGACGGUUAGUAGUUUAGUCCCUUACGGCUGGCUGGUGUCUAGGAUAUAAAAGGCAGCGUCCUGAGUCUUGUACGGAGAUUUGUUUUUAGUUUGGAGUUGAUAAACACAACAGAAAAGGCCUCACGUCAGAAGGCACCAAGGAUGUGUUCUUGCGAAUCCUAGGGAUUCGUUGCUGUUGUGCUCGCGUCUGAUCUCAUAUCAGUUUUGCUGCAAGUCUUCUCCUUUGGUUUCUUAUCUUAUCUGUUUGAUCCGAAGGUUUCUUUUCUUCUGUGUCUAUUUCUUCUGCGACUUUUGCUGCCGUCGUUCAUUGCUAUUUCGCAAGUACCGUGGAAGGUCGGACCAACCAGCGACUCGUCGUCUAGUCGAGUCAUAUCAAGUGGUAUUCAGAGCUAGGUUGUUCACGGUACUGUGUUGAUUAAGAUGUCAAAUUCGGUCAACAAGGUUGAUGAGGUCGUUGCUGAUUCUGAGGAAGUUGUGCGUCCAGUGUACGUGGAUGAUAUUCCUCAAAAUAUUCGGGAUGGUUUUGACCACAUGUGCAACUACGUCAAGCAAUGCCAUGACGCACUCGAGGUGAAGCUUGGCCAAAGGAUUGAUGUUCUGAUCGCUCGGUUCGAUGCUUUGGCGGACACCAUCAAUACGCCGACGACUAAUUCUGCACCACCACAGGCUGCUCCAGCUGCUCCACUGCAUUAUGCACCACCGGCUCACGAUGGACAUGUCGGCGUGCAUGAUCGCCGUUUGGUGGCACAACCACAUGCUGGAGAUGAUGGCAUCGAUGACGGAGUUGACCAUGAGGCGGGGUACACACCACGACCGCGACACUAUGAGCCCCGUCCUGAAACUUCUGCUCGUGGUGGAGCGCAUGACCGUGUGGGUCAAGCUAUGCAUGUUCCUUUCGAUGAUGGAAUUGGGCGCAUAAAAAUUUCAAUCCCUUCGUUCUCCGGCAAGUGCGAACCAGAAGGCUAUUUGGAGUGGGAGAUGCGUGUUGAUCAAAUUUUUGACGCCCAUCAUUAUAGCGAGGAGAAGAAAGUUCAACUUGCUAGAAUUGAGUUCACCGGUUACGCACUAAUUUGGUGGAGUCAAAUUUGUCAUUCAAGACAUCGCCCGACGACUUGGAGAGGUAUGAAAGAAUUCAUGAGGCGAUGUUUUGUUCCCGAGCACUAUAAAAGAGAUAUGUAUAACAAGUUGCAGCGGCUCUCUCAAGGCAAUAUGAGUGUUGAUGAAUAUUACAAGGAGAUGGAGUUGCUUAUGAUACGUACAGGGACAACGGAGGAUCCGGAGGCAACCAUGGCAUGUUUCUUUAAUGUACUAAAUAUUGAGGUGCAGGAUCGUGUUGAGAUGGUGGUCUACUACAACAUACAAGAUCUAGUGCACCAAGCUGUGCGUGCAGAACAGCAGAUUAAGCGACGCCAAGUUAGCACAGUUCCCAGUACCACUUUGAACACAUGGCGGCGCUCGCAGCAUAAGAUUGAGGAUGCAGGUCCUAGCUCGAGGACAGCCGUGUCAAAUCACUCCCAUGGUUCCGUGCAAAAGGAUGCUUCAAAAUCAGGACUGUCGAAGUUUGAUUCUAGUGCACAGUCCACCACACGUACCAGUAACAUAGAGUGUUUCAAGUGUGGAGGAAGAGGGCAUAUGAGGCGUGAAUGUCCUAAUGAGAAAAGAGUGUUGCUCACAAGAGAUGGAUAUGCGUCCGCUAGUGACGAAGAGUCAGUUUCUGACACUUCUAGUGAAAAAACUGAAGAAACAGAAAAGGUGUUUGCGAGUUUUGAAGCUGCUGAAUCAUAUCCGUCUUUGAUGGUGCAGCGGGUUCAAGAGGAUCGCAUUGAGGAUAAGGGGCAGCGCUGGAAUAUUUUUCAAACUCAAUGCAAAAUCAACAACACCAAUUAUAAGUUAAUUAUAGAUGGAGGAAGCUACACCAACGCGGUCAGCAAGGUAUUGGUGGAAGCUUUGGAGUUACCUACAUGGGAGCACACUCAGCCACACCGUGUCGAGUGGAUGUAUCAUACAGGGAAGAUGAAGGUUACACAUAAGGUCCGUGUGAAUUUUUCUGUUGGCAAUUAUACUGAUAUGGUGAUAUGUGAUGUUUUGCCAAUGGAUGUGUGCCAUAUAUUGUUAGGAAGACCAUGGCAAUAUGAUCAUGGAGCCACACAUGAUGGGAGGUCUAACACUUAUUCAUUUUGGUAUAAUGGAAAACGGAAUGUGUUGAGACCGAUUUUGCCAAUGCCAUCGAUGUAGAUGCUAAUGUUUCUCUACAACAAAAGAUCGCAAAGGUUGUUUCGAAGCCGAGGACGGCUUCGCUUCAAGAGGGGGAGGAUGAUGUGUGCACCAAUGUUGUAGGUUUACUUGGGGUGACUCCAAGUGUUGAACAAAAGACAAGCACAACCAUUUGUUUUGACGCAAGUAUACCAGAGGCUUCAGAUUCUAAUCUUUCGACUGUGCUACAGCUUGGCUCUCUCUUCUUUGAGGUUUCGUCGAUGGAGCCAAAGAAGGACACGGUGAAGCCAAACUUCAGAACCCCUCCAAAGUGCACUAAUUUUGAUAGUAUUUCAUGUCUGGUGAAGUAGUUUCAAGCAUGCAAGCAAAUAAGUAGUUCUUUUAUUAGUCAUGUGUGAUCAGCAUGGCCGGUUGAUUAAGUAGCUUUUCUAAUUAAAGAAUACUACUUCAGAAUAGGGUCCACGUACAGGUUGUGCUAGUUAGCUUGUUUUUUUUCUUUCUCUCCGAGAUGUAAAAGGAGGGGAUCUCCGUAUUAGUUUGAGACGGUUAGUAGUUUAGGCCCUUACAGCUGGCUGGUGUCUAGGAUAUAAAAGGCAGCAUCCUGAGUCUUGUACGGAGAUUUGUUUUUAGUUUGGAGUUGAUAAACACAACAGAAAAGGCCUCACGUCAGGAGGCACCAAGGAUGUGUUCUUGCGAAUCCUAGGGAUUCGUUGCUGCUGUGCUCGCGUCUGAUCUCAUAUCAGUUUUGCUGCAAGUCUUCUCCUUUGGUUUCUUAUCUUAUCCGUUUGAUCCAAAGGUUUCUUUUCUUCUGCGUCUAUUUCUUCUGCGACUUUUGCUGCCGUCGUUCAUUGCUAUUUCGCAAGUACUGUGGAAGAUUGGACCAACCAGCGACUC